Sorex fumeus (smoky shrew) is the source of this 92-nucleotide small nucleolar RNA. RefSeq annotates it as small nucleolar RNA SNORD116. The record is from RefSeq and is a predicted model, not a curated record. NCBI's taxonomy places the organism in Eukaryota, Metazoa, Chordata, Mammalia, Eulipotyphla, Soricidae. The transcript has a single exon.
UUAAUGGUGAAUACACCUAACUUUGCAUUCUUUGGAAAACCUGAACAGUGAGAAUGAGAACUCACACUGCCACCAUUGUCAUCCUGGAGCGA